GGGGCGUAGCUCAGUUGGUAGAGCGUUCGGUUCGCAUCCGAGAGGUCAAGGGUUCGAAUCCCUCCGUCUCC
Molecule: transfer RNA, 71 nt
Filed under: human gut metagenome
Rfam family: tRNA
About the family: Transfer RNA (tRNA) molecules are approximately 80 nucleotides in length.
Source: RNAcentral